RNAcentral lists this long non-coding RNA (340 nucleotides) under Mytilus galloprovincialis (Mediterranean mussel). Lineage: Eukaryota; Metazoa; Mollusca; Bivalvia; Mytilida; Mytilidae. The record is from RNAcentral.
CAGCAGAAGGUCACCAACAGGUCUUCAAUGUAGCGAGAAAUUCCCGCACCCGGAGGCGUCCUUCAGCUGGCCCCUAAACAAAUAUAUACUAGUUCAGUAAUAAUUGUAUUGUCCCAAACAUACAAAUUUUUAAAACGACUGUUUGUGUAUAGUACGGGAUUUUGGCCUCGCAUUGUCCUAUGCAUAUCACUCGAAGGUACCCCGACCAAUCGUAAUCUAUACCUAAUGCUCACUAUGUUGAGAAGGACUCACCGCAAGGUUUUUUUUUCAAUUUGCAGUGCGGGAUGUAUAAAUGCACAUUCACGUCCGGGUUGGUAAGAAAUAGUAUGUCUAUAAUGCG